Molecule: long non-coding RNA, 1088 nt
Organism: Mauremys reevesii (Reeves's turtle)
Lineage: Eukaryota; Metazoa; Chordata; Testudines; Geoemydidae
Exons: 4
Source: RefSeq, a predicted model, not a curated record
AACAGUUUGGAGAAGUGCUGUGGUGGGCUAAGAAGACCAAGACCCUAGGGUAUGCUUUCAUGCCUCCCUGGCAGGAUUACGUAGUGUCCCAACAUUUCCAGCAUCACAGUUGAUGAAGAAAACGAUAUUAAGGAGGUGAGGAAUAACAUGGAAUUUCACAAUGGUGAACAUGAGAGGGAAAUUGCAAAAAGGACAUGAGACCCUGGAGAAAAAGGGGCUCAGAGUUGGCUCUCUACCCUGUUAAAUGAUCUUUUCCAAGGAUUCCCAACAUAAACAAAGUCUGUAAUCGAGAGACUUUUCAGAAGACUUUUUCUUUGAGGGGUUGAGUCAUCUAAGAAGAAGCAAAUAAAAAGAAAUGAUGAUCUAGAAGCCAAUAUUUUAUUAAUUGCCAAAGGAACCAUAAUCUUCUUCACAUUGUCUUCCUUUCCUUUGCGUAUGUGAAAGUGUAGAUCUUCUGAAUUAGACAUGCUCAGGAUGCAAAGCAAGCAGUACAUGGUAACAUAGCAUAUUGUUGUGGACAUAUACAAUAGGGAUAAAAGCUUUAAAUUUUAUUUGUGGAACAAUGUUUUAAAAUAUCAAACAGCAAGACUCCAAGCUUAAACAAUGACUGGGAACACUCUGUUCUGUCCCCCCUCUCUCCCAACAAAAAGCAGCCUUAUGGUAUAAGAAGCCAUAGGAGUAUGCCACAGGAAAGUGGUAGCCUUGGAAACUCUUCCUGACUCCAUACAAGUGGUGGCAUCAAAUGGGAUGCCUGGGGAACCUUGGAUUACAUCCCAACUAGCUGGAGGCAAUGGAAAUAGGAGAAUGAAAAGCCCUGGAGCUCUGUGACCCAGGGAGCCCCUCAGAACCAACUGGCAGAGGGUACACCAUACCACAACUCACAUCAGGCAUGACGCAGUAAUUGCCUCAACUCACUGUCAUAAUCUGUAUCUAAAAGGUGUUAUGUAAGGUACCAUAUGCAAACUGGUAACAUGCAGGGCAUUAAUAUUAUUGUAUGAUCUGUGUACAGGAGGUAUAAAGAGAAUUAUAGAUGUGUUCUGGAAAUAUAUUUUUAAAAAGUGUUUGUCAAGCAGUGCAUACCCCCAGCG